This 74-nucleotide transfer RNA is filed under the name Dallia pectoralis (Alaska blackfish). Its description in RNAcentral is "tRNA-OTHER". It matches the Rfam family "tRNA". Rfam says of the family: Transfer RNA (tRNA) molecules are approximately 80 nucleotides in length. Their secondary structure includes four short double-helical elements and three loops (D, anti-codon, and T loops). Further hydrogen bonds mediate the characteristic L-shaped molecular structure. tRNAs have two regions of fundamental functional importance: the anti-codon, which is responsible for specific mRNA codon recognition, and the 3' end, to which the tRNAs corresponding amino acid is attached (by aminoacyl-tRNA synthetases). tRNAs cope with the degeneracy of the genetic code in two manners: having more than one tRNA (with a specific anti-codon) for a particular amino acid; and 'wobble' base-pairing, i.e. permitting non-standard base-pairing at the 3rd anti-codon position. Lineage: Eukaryota; Metazoa; Chordata; Actinopteri; Esociformes; Umbridae. The record is from RNAcentral.
UGCGCUGUGGCUUAGUUGGUUAAAGUUACUGUCUAGUAAACAGGAGAUCCUAAAUUCGAAUCUUUGCAGCGCCU